GACGAACGCUGGCGGCGUGCUUAACACAUGCAAGUCGAACGGACAGGCCCUGCUUUUGUGGGGUGCUCGAGUGGCGAACGGGUGAGUAAAACGUGAGUAACCUGUACUUGACUUUGGGAUAAAUUCAGGAAAAUGGGGCUCAUACCGGAUAGGAGCUCCUGCUGCAUGGUGGGGGUUGGAAAGUUUCGGCGGUUGGGGAUGGACUCGAGGCUUAUCAGCUUGUUGGUGGGGUAGUGGCUUACCAAGGCUUUGAAGGGUAGCCGGCCUGAGAGGGUGACCGGCCACAAUGGGACUGCGAUACGGCCCAGACUCCUACGGGAGGCAGCAGUGGGGAAUAUUGCACAAUGGGCGGAAGCCUGAUGCAGCAACGCCGCGUGCGGGAUGACGGCCUUCUGGUUGUAAACCGCUUUCUCCUGUGACGAAGCGUGAGUGACGGUAAUGGGUAAAGAAGCACCGGCUAACUACGUG
Molecule: ribosomal RNA, 468 nt
Filed under: uncultured bacterium
Lineage: Bacteria
Description: partial 16S ribosomal RNA
Rfam family: Bacterial small subunit ribosomal RNA
Source: RNAcentral